UAAAGAAGAAACAUAAGAGAGCUCUUUAUGAAGCACUUGAAAAGGUUAAGUCAGAGCUUAUGCUAUUAGGAUUUAUAUCCUUGCUUCUAACUGUAGGACAAGGUCCAAUAUCAAAUAUAUGCAUACCAGAAAAGGUUGGAUCUUCAUGGCAUCCAUGCAGCAAGGAGGAAGAAGCGAAUAUAAACAAGGCUGAAGUGCCUGCAACAGAAAAUGAA
Molecule: unclassified non-coding RNA, 215 nt
Filed under: Hevea brasiliensis (rubber tree)
Lineage: Eukaryota; Viridiplantae; Streptophyta; Magnoliopsida; Malpighiales; Euphorbiaceae
Source: RNAcentral